UACAGGUUGUGCUAGUCACCCUUAAUGUGAUCUCUGUGGGAAAUAUCUUAAUUAUGGUCUGAGUCAUGCCCCUCCGGCUACAUGACAAGAGCUAGAUGAUUCAGACUUAGGUCUCUUGAGACCUCAUUUUCUAUAGUGUACUCAGAUGUGUCUUCAGUGAGGUCAUUGUUCCUGAGAGAUCUUGAAAUUGCUAUUGUAACUAUCACCCAAUUUAAGACUGAAAGAACAUUUUAUUCUGUUAAUAUGCUGAAGCAAAUAGGUUGAUGAAGGGCACUUUCAAAUGCAUUUCAUCUUCAAUGUAAACAACUUUUCUUCUCUAAUUUCCUCCCAAAUACGCAAGCAAUCUAUUUCUCAAAAAAAAAAAAAAGCCUGAUUUAAAUGACUUCUUUGUGAAAAGUAGUUUCAUGGAGUGCGAAUUCAAUACAAGCUGUUAGCCUACGCUUUGCUUUCCUGAUUGAAAUUGAUGUUGCAGUGCCCCCAAGUGGUAAAAACACAUUUUAAAAUACAGCUAAGGAAAAUUUGCCCAAUGACCAGUUAGUUUUCUUCCUUAAUGAUUAAAUGAUUCAAACAACUCAGUUGCAGGUGAUGUCUUCUAAGACAAAUUUCCCCCAAGAGAAAUGUCCCAGUGGCACUUUGUUUUAUGCCAGUGUGUAGAGCUUUAAGCCAUGGGAAACAUCUGCUCACGCUUAAACUGAGACAUAUCAAUAAUUUACUUUCAUUCCCAUCUAAUAUAGUUGUUUCUGUUUUUCUGCAUUGAAAGUAUCUGUUACUUUGUUUCCAUCCCAUGGUUUCAUACAUAAGGAAGUCAUAUGUUUAGAUUGUGUUUUCUAGCUUGUACAAUAGAAUUCAGCAUGGGAUAAUCAGCAAGAUUCUGAGAAAAAUUACUCAUAUUUCCUCUAAUAAAAGUGAGAUAUGCAUAUGUGAGUAUACUCUAUGAUAGUUAUUAAAGUGAAGUUUUUAAUUU
Molecule: long non-coding RNA, 964 nt
Filed under: Mus musculus (house mouse)
Lineage: Eukaryota; Metazoa; Chordata; Mammalia; Rodentia; Muridae
Description: long non-coding RNA chrX:112348133-112349097
Source: RNAcentral